Molecule: ribosomal RNA, 1070 nt
Filed under: uncultured bacterium
Lineage: Bacteria
Description: bacterial SSU rRNA
Rfam family: Bacterial small subunit ribosomal RNA
Source: RNAcentral
AGAGUUUGAUCCUGGCUCAGGAUGAACGCUGGCGGCGUGUCUUAGGCAUGCAAGUCGAACGGUGCAGCAAUGUAACCGUGGCAAACGGGUGCGUAACACACUGGUCACCUGCCUCGAAGUUCGGUAUAACCCCUCGAAAGAGGGGCUAAUCCCGGAUGUGUUUCCCGACUUAUGGUCGGGAAGGAAAGUCGCAAGACGCUUUGAGAGGGGCCUAUGGUCCAUCAGCUAGUUGGUGAGGUAAUGGCUCACCAAGGCUACGACGGAUAGCGGGCGUGAGAGCGCGACCCGCCUCAGUGGAACUGAGACACUGUCCACACUCCUACGGGAGGCUGCAGUCGAGAAUCUUCCCCAAUGGACGAAAGUCUGAGGGAGCGACGCCGCGUGCAGGAAGAAGGCCUUCGGGUUGUAAACUGCUUUUUUCUGGGAAUAACUCUGAAGGUACCAGAAGAAUAAGGGGCUGCUAACUUCGUGCCAGCAGCAGCGGUAAUACGAAGGCCCCAAGCGUUAUCCGGAUUUAUUGGGCGUAAAGCGUUCAACGGCGGUUGAGAAAGUUGCGAGUGAAAUCUCUGUGCUCAACACAGAACCUGCCCGCAAAACUUCUCGACUUGAGGGUGGAAGAGGCAAGCGGAACUACAGGUGUAGUAGUGAAAUGCGUUCAUAUCUGUAGGAACACCAAUAGCGAAGGCAGCUUGCUGGUACACACCUGACGCUCAAGAACGAAAGCGUGGGGAGCGAAUGGGAUUAGAUACCCCAGUAGUCCACGCCGUAAACGAGGAGUGCUAGAUGUUGGGAGUUUCGACCCUCUCAGUAUCGCAAGGUAACCCCUUAAGCACUCCGCCUGGGAAGUACGGCCGCAAGGCUAAAACUCAAAGGAAUUGACGGGAGCCCGCACAAGCGGUGGAGCAUGUGGUUUAAUUCGACACUAAACGAGAAACCUUACCUGGUCUAGAAAUCUAGCUGCACGCCUCGGGAAACCGAGGAAGCCUUCGAGGGUGCUAGACAGGUGCUGCAUGGCUGUCGUCAGCUCGUGGCGUGAGCUGUUCGGUUAAGUCCGGUAACGAGCGCAACCC